GCAGUCGAGCGAACAGAUAAGGAGCUUGCUCCUUUGACGUUAGCGGCGGACGGGUGAGUAACACGUGGGUAACCUACCUAUAAGACUGGGAUAACUUCGGGAAACCGGAGCUAAUACCGGAUAACAUUUGGAACCGCAUGGUUCUAAAGUGAAAGAUGGUUUUGCUAUCACUUAUAGAUGGACCCGCGCCGUAUUAGCUAGUUGGUAAGGUAACGGCUUACCAAGGCGACGAUACGUAGCCGACCUGAGAGGGUGAUCGGCCACACUGGAACUGAGACACGGUCCAGACUCCUACGGGAGGCAGCAGUAGGGAAUCUUCCGCAAUGGGCGAAAGCCUGACGGAGCAACGCCGCGUGAGUGAUGAAGGGUUUCGGCUCGUAAAACUCUGUUAUUAGGGAAGAACAAAUGUGUAAGUAACUGUGCACGUCUUGACGGUACCUAAUCAGAAAGCCACGGCUAACUACGUGCCAGCAGCCGCGGUAAUACGUAGGUGGCAAGCGUUAUCCGGAAUUAUUGGGCGUAAAGCGCGCGUAGGCGGUUUCUUAAGUCUGAUGUGAAAGCCCACGGCUCAACCGUGGAGGGUCAUUGGAAACUGGGAAACUUGAGUGCAGAAGAGGAAAGUGGAAUUCCAUGUGUAGCGGUGAAAUGCGCAGAGAUAUGGAGGAACACCAGUGGCGAAGGCGACUUUCUGGUCUGUAACUGACGCUGAUGUGCGAAAGCGUGGGGAUCAAACAGGAUUAGAUACCCUGGUAGUCCACGCCGUAAACGAUGAGUGCUAAGUGUUAGGGGGUUUCCGCCCCUUAGUGCUGCAGCUAACGCAUUAAGCACUCCGCCUGGGGAGUACGACCGCAAGGUUGAAACUCAAAGGAAUUGACGGGGACCCGCACAAGCGGUGGAGCAUGUGGUUUAAUUCGAAGCAACGCGAAGAACCUUACCAAAUCUUGACAUCCUUUGAAAACUCUAGAGAUAGAGCCUUCCCCUUCGGGGGACAAAGUGACAGGUGGUGCAUGGUUGUCGUCAGCUCGUGUCGUGAGAUGUUGGGUUAAGUCCCGCAACGAGCGCAACCCUUAAGCUUAGUUGCCAUCAUUAAGUUGGGCACUCUAGGUUGACUGCCGGUGACAAACCGGAGGAAGGUGGGGAUGACGUCAAAUCAUCAUGCCCCUUAUGAUUUGGGCUACACACGUGCUACAAUGGACAAUACAAAGGGCAGCUAAACCGCGAGGUCAUGCAAAUCCCAUAAAGUUGUUCUCAGUUCGGAUUGUAGUCUGCAACUCGACUACAUGAAGCUGGAAUCGCUAGUAAUCGUAGAUCAGCAUGCUACGGUGAAUACGUUCCCGGGUCUUGUACACACCGCCCGUCACACCACGAGAGUUUGUAACACCCGAAGCCGGUGGAGUAACCAUU
RNAcentral lists this ribosomal RNA (1404 nucleotides) under Staphylococcus saprophyticus. RNAcentral describes it as "bacterial SSU rRNA". It matches the Rfam family "Bacterial small subunit ribosomal RNA". The record is from RNAcentral. Lineage: Bacteria; Bacillati; Bacillota; Bacilli; Caryophanales; Staphylococcaceae.